GGUCGUGCUGUUCUCUCUUGUCUC
RNAcentral lists this non-coding RNA (24 nucleotides) under Arabidopsis thaliana (thale cress). Lineage: Eukaryota; Viridiplantae; Streptophyta; Magnoliopsida; Brassicales; Brassicaceae. The record is from RNAcentral.